UGGGGAAUAUUGGACAAUGGGCGCAAGCCUGAUCCAGCCAUGCCGCGUGGGUGAAGAAGGCCCUAGGGUUGUAAAUCCCUUUCAGCGGGGAAGAUGAUGACGGUACCCGCAGAAGAAGCCCCGGCUAACUCCGUGCCAGCAGCCGCGGUAAUACGGAGGGGGCUAGCGUUGCUCGGAAUUACUGGGCGUAAAGGGCGCGUAGGCGGACCAUAUAGUCAGGCGUGAAAGCCCCGGGCUCAACCUGGGAACUGCGCUUGAUACUGAUGGUCUAGAGUCCGGGAGAGGGUAGUGGAAUUCCCAGUGUAGAGGUGAAAUUCGUAGAUAUUGGGAAGAACACCGGUGGCGAAGGCGGCUACCUGGACCGGUACUGACGCUGAGGCGCGAAAGCGUGGGGAGCAAACAGGAUUAGAUACCCCCGUAGUCC
Molecule: ribosomal RNA, 424 nt
Filed under: uncultured prokaryote
Description: bacterial SSU rRNA
Rfam family: Bacterial small subunit ribosomal RNA
Source: RNAcentral